CAACCGGCAGUGCCAGUUUACAUUUGGGGAGGACUCCAAACACUGCCCCGAUGCAGCCAGCACAUGUAGCACCUUGUGGUGUACCGGCACCUCUGGCGGGGUGCUGGUGUGCCAAACCAAACACUUCCCGUGGGCAGAUGGCACCAGCUGUGGAGAAGGGAAAUGGUGUAUCAACGGCAAGUGUGUGAACAAAACCGACAGAAAGCAUUUUGAUGUGAGUUUUUCUACUGAAACACAUUCAGAAUUGAAAAGAACAAAGUGAUGGUAAAAGAUAUGAUACCAAGUUAAACAUCCCCAUCUGUGUCCUCUAGCAGGAAUGCGAGAUAGCUUAUUUUUAGAAUUGAUUCUUUGUCCCAUGUGGCUUUCUUUGAUACCCUAAAAGUUCUCUUUAGAUAAUUCUAAUGCUGAUGAUUUAUGUCUCCAUUUAGACGCCUUUUCAUGGAAGCUGGGGAAUGUGGGGGCCUUGGGGAGACUGUUCGAGAACGUGCGGUGGAGGAGUCCAGUACACGAUGAGGGAAUGUGACAACCCAGUCCCAAAGAAUGGAGGGAAGUACUGUGAAGGCAAACGAGUGCGCUACAGAUCCUGUAACCUUGAGGACUGUCCAGACAAUAAUGGAAAAACCUUUAGAGAGGAACAAUGUGAAGCACACAACGAGUUUUCAAAAGCUUCCUUUGGGAGUGGGCCUGCGGUGGAAUGGAUUCCCAAGUACGCUGGCGUCUCACCAAAGGACAGGUGCAAGCUCAUCUGCCAAGCCAAAGGCAUUGGCUACUUCUUCGUUUUGCAGCCCAAGGUUGUAGAUGGUACUCCAUGUAGCCCAGAUUCCACCUCUGUCUGUGUGCAAGGACAGUGUGUAAAAGCUGGUUGUGAUCGCAUCAUAGACUCCAAAAAGAAGUUUGAUAAAUGUGGUGUUUGUGGGGGAAAUGGAUCUACUUGUAAAAAAAUAUCAGGAUCAGUUACUAGUGCAAAACCUGGAUAUCAUGAUAUCAUCACAAUUCCAACUGGAGCCACCAACAUCGAAGUGAAACAGCGGAACCAGAGGGGAUCCAGGAACAAUGGCAGCUUUCUUGCCAUCAAAGCUGCUGAUGGCACGUAUAUUCUUAAUGGUGACUACACUUUGUCCACCUUAGAGCAAGACAUUAUGUACAAAGGUGU
Molecule: small RNA, 1153 nt
Filed under: Pan troglodytes (chimpanzee)
Lineage: Eukaryota; Metazoa; Chordata; Mammalia; Primates; Hominidae
Description: retained intron
Source: RNAcentral